RNAcentral lists this transfer RNA (74 nucleotides) under Loxodonta africana (African savanna elephant). It matches the Rfam family "tRNA". Rfam says of the family: Transfer RNA (tRNA) molecules are approximately 80 nucleotides in length. Their secondary structure includes four short double-helical elements and three loops (D, anti-codon, and T loops). Further hydrogen bonds mediate the characteristic L-shaped molecular structure. tRNAs have two regions of fundamental functional importance: the anti-codon, which is responsible for specific mRNA codon recognition, and the 3' end, to which the tRNAs corresponding amino acid is attached (by aminoacyl-tRNA synthetases). tRNAs cope with the degeneracy of the genetic code in two manners: having more than one tRNA (with a specific anti-codon) for a particular amino acid; and 'wobble' base-pairing, i.e. permitting non-standard base-pairing at the 3rd anti-codon position. Lineage: Eukaryota; Metazoa; Chordata; Mammalia; Proboscidea; Elephantidae. The record is from Rfam by way of RNAcentral.
GCAUUGGUGGUUUAGUGGUAGAAUUCUCACCUUCCACGCAGUGGCAAACCUGAGUUCGAUUCUCAGCCAGUGAA